This 468-nucleotide ribosomal RNA is filed under the name uncultured bacterium. RNAcentral describes it as "partial 16S ribosomal RNA". It matches the Rfam family "Bacterial small subunit ribosomal RNA", at positions 28 to 507 of the family's 1533-position model. The record is from RNAcentral.
GACGAACGCUGGCGGCGUGCUUAACACAUGCAAGUCGAACGGAAAGGCCCUGCUUUUGUGGGGUGCUCGAGUGGCGAACGGGUGAGUAACACGUGAGUAAACUGCCCUUGUCUUUGGGAUAACAUCAGGAAACUGGGGCUAAUACCGCAUAGGAGAUUCUGCUGCAUGGUGUGGGUUGGAAAGUUUCGGCGGUUGGGGAUGGACUGGCGGCUUAUCAGCUUGUUGGUGGGGUAGUGGCGUACCAAGUGUUUGAAGGGUAGCCGGCCUGAGAGGGUGGACAGCCACAUGGGGACUGAGAUACGGCGCAGACUCCUACGUGAGGCAGCAGGGGGGAACAUUGCACAAUGGGCGGACGCCUGAGGCAGCGACGCCGCGUGCGGGAUGACGGCUUUCGGGUUGUAAACCGCUUUCGCCUGUGACGAAGCGUGAGUGACGGUAAUGGGUAAAGAAGCACCGGCUAACUACGUG